Long non-coding RNA from Mustela erminea (ermine), 806 nucleotides. RefSeq lists it as uncharacterized. The record is from RefSeq and is a predicted model, not a curated record. NCBI's taxonomy places the organism in Eukaryota, Metazoa, Chordata, Mammalia, Carnivora, Mustelidae. The transcript has 3 exons.
CUCAAAGGUGGAGAGAAGGCAGAGGAACUAGGGAAAUCAGGACCCAAGAAACAGCACAGUGAAAUAUCUUUACAAUAAUAGUGGCAUUAUUUGGAAGCACACAGCGGAGAUCACUGGUGCUAUUUGGGAUACACACUUGGAUCUUGAACCCUAAACACAGAGCCUGAAAAUACACUAUUCUUCAGCCAGCAUCUAGUGAAAACAAACAGUGGAGUCCUCUCAGCGUUGGGAAACCCCUGGAGGAUGAGUCACAGUGGCAUGGUUUGAGAUAUCAAGAGUAAGAGGCGGCGUUGCUGAAAAGCAUUCAUUCCAGCUGAACAGUAAGAACACUGAAGUCUAAAGAAGUGUUGCAUUGGAAGAAUGAAAAGGAAAGGAUGCUGAUCAGGAUGCUGAAACCAGAGAGAAGGCACACCAUGUCUCAAAGUUCUACGGUUUACCACCUCAAGGAUAGAGAAAUGGAGUAAAAUUGGGUGAUGCUGAUUUCAAAAGGAGUAAGGAAUUACAAGAUGCUACCAAGAUAAUAGAUUCAAAUGUGCUAGAAGUAAACAAUUAUGCCAUUAACCACAGUCCCUGUUGGAACUUCCAGGAAAGUAAUUAUCAGGAAGGAAUCAGACUUACAUGUAUAUGAGCAGGUACAAUACUGGAGAAGGUAAAAGGAUGAAGGAGAUUAUGACAUAGAUAGACCAGUGCUGGGAAGGCAAGAGUUUUCUUCUUUGUGGACUAGAGCUUAGUGAACUGGAUGUUUUUAUUCAGAUAAUAUACAAGAUAAGGGCUGGUAUGUAUGAAAACAAAUAGAUGAAUGAGAG